Molecule: ribosomal RNA, 523 nt
Filed under: uncultured bacterium
Lineage: Bacteria
Description: partial 16S ribosomal RNA
Rfam family: Bacterial small subunit ribosomal RNA
Source: RNAcentral
GACGAACGCUGGCGGCGUGCCUAAUACAUGCAAGUCGAACGCUUUUUCUUUCACCGGAGCUUGCUCCACCGAAAGAAAAAGAGUGGCGAACGGGUGAGUAACACGUGGGUAACCUGCCCAUCAGAAGGGGAUAACACUUGGAAACAGGUGCUAAUACCGUAUAACACUAUUUUCCGCAUGGCAGAAAGUUGAAGGGCGCUUUUGCGUCACCGAUGGAUGGACCCGCGGUGCAUUAGCUAGUUGGUGAGGUAACGGCUCACCAAGGCAACGAUGCAUAGCCGACCUGAGGGGGUGAUCGGCCACACUGGGACUGAGACACGGCCCAGACUCCUACGGGAGGCAGCAGUAGGGAAUCUUCGGCAAUGGACGAAAGUCUGACCGAGCAACGCCGCGUGAGUGAAGAAGGUUUUCGGAUCGUAAAACUCUGUUGUUAGAGAAGAACAAGGAUGAGAGUAAAAUGUUCAUCCCUUGACGGUAUCUAACCAGAAAGCCACGGCUAACUACGUGCCAGCCGCCGCCGUAA